Molecule: ribosomal RNA, 1341 nt
Filed under: uncultured bacterium
Lineage: Bacteria
Description: bacterial SSU rRNA
Rfam family: Bacterial small subunit ribosomal RNA
Source: RNAcentral
GCGGCGGGGAGAGUGCUUGCACUCUCCGCCGGCGACCGGCGCACGGGUGAGUAACACGUAUGCAACCUGCCCCUGUCAGGGGGACAACCUUCCGAAAGGGAGGCUAAUCCCGCGUAUAUGUCCCGGGGGCAUCCCGGGGACAGGAAAGGCUCCGGCCGGACAGGGAUGGGCAUGCGGCGCAUUAGGCAGACGGGGGUGUAACGGACCACCGUACCGACGAUGCGUAGGGGUUCUGAGAGGAAGGUCCCCCACACUGGUACUGAGACACGGACCAGACACCUACGGGAGGCAGCAGUGAGGAAUAUUGGUCAAUGGUCGGGAGACUGAACCAGCCAAGCCGCGUGAGGGAUGAAGGCGCUAAGCGUCGUAAACCUCUUUUGUCAGGGAACAAACGGUCCCACGUGUGGGAUUCUGAGUGUACCUGAAGAAAAAGCAUCGGCUAACUCCGUGCCAGCAGCCGCGGUAAUACGGAGGAUGCGAGCGUUAUCCGGAUUUAUUGGGUUUAAAGGGUGCGCAGGCGGAAGCGCAAGUCAGCGGUAAAAUUGAGAGGCUCAACCUCUUCCCGCCGUUGAAACUGCGUUUCUUGAGUGGGCGAGAAGUACGCGGAAUGCGUGGUGUAGCGGUGAAAUGCAUAGAUAUCACGCAGAACUCCGAUUGCGAAGGCAGCAUACCGGCGCCCAACUGACGCUCAGGCACGAAAGCGUGGGUAUCGAACAGGAUUAGAUACCCUGGUAGUCCACGCAGUAAACGAUGAUUACUAAUUGUCCGGUUCGAAUGAGGACUGGGUGAUACAGCGAAAGCGUUAAGUAAUCCACCUGGGGAGUACGCCGGCAACGGUGAAACUCAAAGGAAUUGACGGGGGCCCGCACAAGCGGAGGAACAUGUGGUUUAAUUCGAUGAUACGCGAGGAACCUUACCCGGGCUCAAACGCAUGAGGACAGUCCCUGAAAGGGGAUCUUCUUCGGACCUUAUGCGAGGUGCUGCAUGGUUGUCGUCAGCUCGUGCCGUGAGGUGUCGGCUUAAGUGCCAUAACGAGCGCAACCCCUAUCGACAGUUGCUAACAGGUUAAGCUGAGGACUCUGUCGAGACUGCCGGCGCAAGCUGUGAGGAAGGCGGGGAUGACGUCAAAUCAGCACGGCCCUUACGUCCGGGGCGACACACGUGUUACAAUGGCAGGUACAGCGGGAAGCCAUGUGGCGACACAGAGCGGAACCCGAAAACCUGUCUCAGUUCGGAUUGGAGUCUGCAACUCGACUCCAUGAAGCUGGAUUCGCUGGUAAUCGCGCAUCAGCCACGGCGCGGUGAAUACGUUCCCGGGCCUUGCACACACCACCCGUCAAG